GUGAUGAACCAGGUCGCCGCUCGGUCACUUUUAAGUGGUCGGGAGGAAAGUCCGGGCUCCGUAGGGUAUGAUGCCGGGUAACUCCCGGGACCUGACCGCUAAAGUGGUCAGGGACAGACAGCGCCACAGAAAAUAUACCGCCCGACCACUUAAAAUACUAAAAACCUGCUUGGCAGGGUAUUGCUUGUUGGUAUUUUAAGUGGUCGGGUAAGGGUGAAAAGGCGGGGUAAGAGCCCACCUCACAGCCGGUAACGGCGGCGGAAAGGCAAGCCUCAUCAGGAGCAAAGUCAAACAGCGCGUGAGAUUUGCGUUUUUACGCAAGUCCCUGCCAAUGACCCGUUGGUUAAGCGCGGGUAGACUGCUAAAAAGAGCCGAAAACGGCUCUUUUAGACAGAUGGCGGCAGUGCGCCUUCCCCAAAAGGGAGGGGCGCACCGGGGUUUUGCUUGCGAAAUCCCGGCUCAAAGUCCUUAGGGGUUUUGAGUACAGAACCCGGCUUAUGGUUCAUCGCUUUU
RNAcentral lists this RNase P RNA (513 nucleotides) under Treponema sp. RNAcentral's name for it is "RNase P RNA component class A". It matches the Rfam family "Bacterial RNase P class A". From Rfam's summary of the family: Ribonuclease P (RNase P) is a ubiquitous endoribonuclease, found in archaea, bacteria and eukarya as well as chloroplasts and mitochondria. Its best characterised activity is the generation of mature 5'-ends of tRNAs by cleaving the 5'-leader elements of precursor-tRNAs. The record is from RNAcentral. Lineage: Bacteria; Pseudomonadati; Spirochaetota; Spirochaetia; Treponematales; Treponemataceae.